This 346-nucleotide ribosomal RNA is filed under the name uncultured bacterium. Its description in RNAcentral is "partial 16S ribosomal RNA". It matches the Rfam family "Bacterial small subunit ribosomal RNA", at positions 338 to 681 of the family's 1533-position model. The record is from RNAcentral.
CCUACGGGUGGCAGCAGUGAGGAAUAUUGGUCAAUGGACGCAAGUCUGAACCAGCCAUGCCGCGUGCAGGAAGACGGCUCUAUGAGUUGUAAACUGCUUUUGUACGAGGGUAAACGCAGAUACGCGUAUCUGUCUGAAAGUAUCGUACGAAUAAGGAUCGGUUAACUCCGUGCCAGCAGCCGCGGUAAUACGGAGGAUUCAAGCGUUAUCCGGAGUUAUUGGGGUGACCGGGUGCGUAGGCGGUCGGAUAAGUUAGAGGUGAAAUCCCGAGGCUCAACGUCGGAAUUGCCUCUGAUACGGUUCGGCUUGAGUGUAGUUGCGGUAGGCGGAAUGUCUUGUGUAGCGG